Molecule: long non-coding RNA, 308 nt
Filed under: Carica papaya (papaya)
Lineage: Eukaryota; Viridiplantae; Streptophyta; Magnoliopsida; Brassicales; Caricaceae
Description: long non-coding RNA (CPAP_LNC014716)
Source: RNAcentral
AACUCAACACCUUUGAAUUACAUCAAAAGAAAGAAUUAUGAAAAUAUUCUAAGCAACCCAACCCAACCUAUUUGAACCUAACAACAGUAGGUAUAUUAAACCUACCACCUUUGAAUCACAAAAAGGUAGAAAAUUUGAACUACUGUUACCCGCCCCUAAAUCUAAUGAACCCAACAAUAAUAAGUAUAUUAAACCUAUCACCUUUGAAUCACAGAAAAGAAAGAAGAAAGACCAAGGUGCCACAACUAGGAGGAAGAAUCCUAGUUGAUAAACCUAAUAAGUUUUGCAAGCAACUUAAGGAAAACCCU